GGACAUCAAGACGCCUCAGGCACAUU
Molecule: microRNA, 26 nt
Filed under: Pristionchus pacificus
Lineage: Eukaryota; Metazoa; Nematoda; Chromadorea; Rhabditida; Neodiplogasteridae
Description: ppc-miR-8335-5p
Source: miRBase by way of RNAcentral